GGCUAGCUUUACUUGAGGAUUUCUAUCACAGGAGUGAAUUAAUCUGUUGUUGAACCUGUUGUCUAGGGAUAGCUUGAUUGCGCUUGUUAACCAUCCCAAUAGGCUAGGAUACCA
RNAcentral lists this small RNA (114 nucleotides) under Arabidopsis thaliana (thale cress). RNAcentral's name for it is "ATSL266090". Lineage: Eukaryota; Viridiplantae; Streptophyta; Magnoliopsida; Brassicales; Brassicaceae. The record is from RNAcentral.